RNAcentral lists this ribosomal RNA (415 nucleotides) under uncultured bacterium. Its description in RNAcentral is "partial 16S ribosomal RNA". It matches the Rfam family "Bacterial small subunit ribosomal RNA", at positions 359 to 774 of the family's 1533-position model. The record is from RNAcentral.
GAAUCUUCCGCAAUGGACGAAAGUCUGACGGAGCAACGCCGCGUGAGUGAUGAAGGAUUUCGGAUCGUAAAGCUCUGUCCGUGGGGAAGAAGGCGGCCAUUACAGGCGACCUGACGGUACCCAAGGAGGAAGCCCCGGCUUACUACGUGCCAGAAGCCGCGGUAAUACGUAGGGGGCAAGCGUUGUCCGGAAUUAUUGGGCGUAAAGGGUGCGUAGGCGGACUUUUAAGUCAGAUGUGAAAGACCACGGCUUAACCGUUGGUUGCAUUUGAAACUGGAGGGCUUGAGUAUCGGAGAGGGUAGUGGAAUUCCCAGUGUAGCGGUGGAAUGCGUAGAUAUUGGGAGGAACACCAGUGGCGAAGGCGACUACCUGGACGAAAACUGACGCUGAGGCGCGAAAGCGUGGGGAGCAAACA